CAGCCUCCUGUCCUGAAGACUUAUUAAUAGACUGGUCACAUUUCUUGCAGGAGUCAGAACCACUCAGGACACAGCAUGGACAUGAGGGUCCCCGCUCAGCUCCUGGGGCUCCUGCUGCUCUGGCUCCCAGGUGCCAGAUGUGACAUCCAGUUGACACAGUCUCCAUCCUCCCUGUCUGCAUCUGUAGGAGACAGAGUCACCAUCACUUGCCAAGCCAGUCAGGGUAUUAGCAGUUAUUUAGCUUGGUAUCAGCAGAAACCGGGGAAAGCCCCUAAGCUCCUGAUCUAUGCUGCAUCCACUUUGCAAAGUGGGGUCCCAUCAAGGUUCAGCGGCAGUGGAUCCGGCACAGAUUUCACUCUCACCAUCAGCAGCCUGCAGCCUGAAGAUUUUGCAACUUAUUACUGUCAACAGUAUAACAGUAAGCCGACGUUCGGCCAAGGGACCAAGCUGGAACUCAAACGAGCUGUGGCUGCACCAUCUGUCUUCAUCUUCCCGCCAUCUGAUGAGCAGGUGAAAUCUGGAACUGUCUCUGUUGUGUGCCUGCUGAAUAACUUCUAUCCCAGAGAGGCCAGCGUAAAGUGGAAGGUGGAUGAUGUCGUCCAAACGGGUAACUCCCAGGAGAGUGUCACAGAGCAGGACAAGGACAACACCUACAGCCUCAGCAGCACCCUGACGCUGAGCAGCACACAGUACCAGCAACACAAAGUCUAUGCCUGCGAAGUCACCCAUCAGGGCCUGAGCUCACCCCUCACCAAGAGCUUCAACAAGGGAGAGUGUUAGAGGGAGAAGUGCCCCAGGCCCCCUACUUGCUCCUCAGCCCCAGCCUCACCCCCUCCCAUCCUUUGGCCUCUGGCCCUUUUCCCACAGGGGACCUACCCCUAUUUCAGCCCUCGAGCUCAUCUUUCACCUCCUCCCCCUCCUCCUCCUUGGCUCUAAUUAUGCUAAUAUUGGAGGAGAAUUAAUAAAUAAAGUGAAUCUUUGCACCUGU
Non-coding RNA from Rhinopithecus roxellana (golden snub-nosed monkey), 988 nucleotides. Lineage: Eukaryota; Metazoa; Chordata; Mammalia; Primates; Cercopithecidae. The record is from the annotation of a RefSeq genome assembly.